UGGGGAAUUUUGGACAAUGGGCGCAAGCCUGAUCCAGCCAUGCCGCGUGCAGGAUGAAGGCCCUCGGGUUGUAAACUGCUUUUGUACGGAACGAAAAGCCUCUUUCUAAUAAAGAGGGGUGAUGACGGUACCGUAAGAAUAAGCACCGGCUAACUACGUGCCAGCAGCCGCGGUAAUACGUAGGAUGCGAGCGUUGUCCGGAUUCACUGGGUGUAAAGGGAGCGCAGGCGGGCUUUCAAGUCAGUGGUGAAAUCUCACAGCUCAACUGUGAAAUUGCCGCUGAUACUGUAGGCCUUGAGUACGGAAAAGGGUGAUAGAAUUCAUGGUGUAGCGGUGAAAUGCGUAGAUAUCAUGAAGAAUACCAGUUGCGAAGGCGGUCACCUGGUCCGUUACUGACGCUCAUGCUCGAAAGUGUGGGGAGCAAACA
RNAcentral lists this ribosomal RNA (427 nucleotides) under uncultured bacterium. Its description in RNAcentral is "bacterial SSU rRNA". It matches the Rfam family "Bacterial small subunit ribosomal RNA", at positions 355 to 774 of the family's 1533-position model. The record is from RNAcentral.